CAAUGACCUCAAAAACCCUUCCCCGUAAUCAACACCCAGAUCCCCUCCUCCCAUCGUCCCUCUCCCAUGCCGAAUACUCUCCCUCCUCCUUCCUCUGUCGACGCCGAUGCCGAUGACGUCAUUGACACGUCGAACACCGACGCCCCCUCCUCCUCCCACCUCUCGCUGUCAAGACCUCCCCCGUGAUCUACACCCAUAUCCCCAAUUUCACAUCCCCCCGUUGAUGACCGAGCUCCUCCUGCUGUCGACGCCGAGCUCCUCCCUCAUCGUAAAACUCCCCCGCUGUCGACUUCGACGCUGAUCCCGACGCCGAGCUCCUCCCCCGUGCUCCUCCAUCGUCGAAGAUCGAGCUCCUCCCUCGACGCCGACGUUGAGCUCCUCCCUCAUCGACGACGAGUUCCUCCCUCCUCUCCGAGCUUCCCCGCUGUCGACGCUGACCCCGACGCCGAGCUCCUUCCCCGUGCUUCUCCCUCGUUGAAGACCGAGCUCCUCCUUCGACGCCGACGCUGAGCUCCUCCCUCGUCGAUGCAUUUGAGCAAAUAUUCAGAGGCCGAGCUCCUCCCCCGUCUACGCCGGACUCUCUCUUCGAAUUAUUGAUGGCGAUCUCUCCAACACCCAGCCUCGACAAUCUCUUCGAAAAUCAAAGUGUUUCACUCCAAAGAACCAAUCUUUCUGAAAAUUUUUCUGAGGUAAGCCAUCGGUCUUAAAACGUCGGAUUAUUGCUAAUUCUGUGAUUAUUAGCUGUGAUUGAAUUUUCUGAAUAAUUAUCAUGUUCUUUGGAAUUAUUAGCUGUGAUUGAAUUUAAUUCUUUUGGUUGAGGAUAAAAUUUGAAGAAGAUUAUUUAAUGCAUGACAGGAAUAUCACUAGCAUAUUGAUUAUUGCUACCUCAUUGGUCAUUGCCAAUGUUUCAGGGCUACGAGAACACUUGGUUGUAACUUCGGAGCAUGUCAGAGCAUUUUUGGAGCCUGUUGCGUGUUCGAACAACUCAUUGGAUGACGAGUCAACCAGCUGCAGUUUCCCCCAGGUUGUUGGAGCACAGGUUGCUGGAGCAUAAUGUUAUUUAAGCAUUUAAGUAUCUUGGAUCUCAGUCUACAUGUAUCGACAAUAACUUUGGUUGUAACUUUAUUUUGUUUUGAAACAUGAAAAUGACUCUAAUUUGUGAGAACACCUGAUUGUAACUUUGGAUGAUGUAACCUGGUGUUAGAAAUCUCUGCUAGUUUCUUCUAAAUGUGUUUAUGGUGAAAUUGUUUAAUGUGUGUAUUCAUGAA
Asparagus officinalis (garden asparagus) is the source of this 1268-nucleotide long non-coding RNA. RefSeq lists it as uncharacterized. The record is from RefSeq and is a predicted model, not a curated record. The transcript is spliced from 3 exons. Lineage: Eukaryota; Viridiplantae; Streptophyta; Magnoliopsida; Asparagales; Asparagaceae.